Molecule: ribosomal RNA, 146 nt
Filed under: Ulota bruchii
Lineage: Eukaryota; Viridiplantae; Streptophyta; Bryopsida; Orthotrichales; Orthotrichaceae
Description: partial 5.8S ribosomal RNA
Rfam family: 5.8S ribosomal RNA
About the family: 5.8S ribosomal RNA (5.8S rRNA) is a component of the large subunit of the eukaryotic ribosome. It is transcribed by RNA polymerase I as part of the 45S precursor that also contains 18S and 28S rRNA.
Source: RNAcentral
CGGAUAUGCUUGCUCUUGCAACGAUGAAGAACGCAGCGAAAUGCGAUACGUAGUGUGAAUUGCAGAAUUCCGCGAAUCAUCGAGUCUUUGAACGCAAGUUGCGCCCGAGGCUUGUCCGAGGGCAUUUCCGCUAGAGCGUCACCGCG